CAUAAGGAUAAUAGGCCUAGCAGAUGAUUAAGUCAAAAUUAUUGAAGUGAUAAGGUUUUCAUAAGUCAAAAAGUGAAAUGAUAAGGUGAAAUGUGUCAAAUUUUGAUACAUUAAGGCCAAAUCAUUGAAAAUAAAGGAUUGUCAUCAACCUUAUCACUUUCCACGACCAAAGACUCUAAAAAAUAGAGAGAAAAGAAAACCAAAAACAUUUAUUGGCUGGCUUGAAGAGAUUCUAAGGAGAUCCAAGUUAAAUCAAAUCCAAAGAAGUGGAUUAAGCUUAGUUUUGGCCUUUUUAUGGAUAAGCACAUCAACACCUAAGACACCACUUGUUACACGGUGAAAUAUCUUUUGGACAGAAGGUAGAGAAAGAAAUGAGUGAAUGACAAAGGAGAACUAAAGCAUGGUCCUGACCCUGAUUUGUACAUAUGAACAUAUCGACCUUUUGUGAGUUAUUUUAGUUUAUCAGUGUGUAUGUUUGUAAUAAAGUGUGAAGUUAUGUUUUGAAAACAAAUUGGGUUAUUUAAUACUUAUGUAUAAUAUGUUUGAGACACACUUUAUGUUUAAUGUACAUAAUGUGAAAUAAGUUUUCUUUU
Molecule: long non-coding RNA, 593 nt
Organism: Humulus lupulus (European hop)
Lineage: Eukaryota; Viridiplantae; Streptophyta; Magnoliopsida; Rosales; Cannabaceae
Exons: 3
Source: RefSeq, a predicted model, not a curated record